RNAcentral lists this long non-coding RNA (19485 nucleotides) under Medicago truncatula (barrel medic). RNAcentral describes it as "long non-coding RNA (MTRU_LNC003802)". Lineage: Eukaryota; Viridiplantae; Streptophyta; Magnoliopsida; Fabales; Fabaceae. The record is from RNAcentral.
CCACCAGUUGAGCUUUCUCACCCUUUUUCUUUGCUUCCUCCUCUUCCUUUUCCUUUGCAAUUUCAAGAUAUUGAAUCAAAUUCUUCAAGCAAGCCUCAACAUCUUCGGUGGUCGACUUUGGCAUCAAAUUCUCGGCAACAUCAGCUGGUGACAUAUUAGUCUCUCCCAACAACUUUUCAAUAAUUGGAAACAAAUCACCAUGAGACUCAACAUCCAAGUAGUUCUUAGCAAGAACCUUGAAUGCUUGAUAUCUACAAUAGGACAUUUCUAUGUGUUUAUCCAUCCUUCCCCUCCUAAUUAGAGCAGGAUCAAGUUUGUCCACAAAAUUAGUUGUGAAAAUUAUGAUCCGUUCUCCUCCACAUGAUGACCAAAUUCCAUCAAUAGAAUUCAACAAACCCGAAAGAGUUACAUUGCUUUUCCUUUUCUCUUCUUCUUCUUCAUCAUCGUCGUCGUCAUCUUCAUCUUCUUCUUCACUUUUCUUAUCAGUUUUCUCUUUAUUCUCAUUUUUAUCAUUACGAUCUUUCUCCUUUUUCUUCUUCCUUUGACCGGUAAGCUCAAGAGAACAAUCAAUAUCUUCAAUAACGAUAACUGAUUUGCUCGACGUCUCAAUCAAAAGUGUUUUCAACUCAUUGUUAUCCUUGACAGUUGUUAAUUCAAGAUCAUAUACAUCGUAGUUCAUGAAAUUUGCAAUAGCAGAUAUCAUGGUAGAUUUCCCAGUUCCUGGUGGACCAUAGAGUAGAUAACCGCGUUUCCAAGCCUUUCCAACUUUAGCAUAAUACUCUUUCCCUUUCUUGAAUUUAACAAGAUCGUUUAUGAUCUCUUCUUUCUUCUCCGGUUCCAUAGCAAGUGUUUCAAACCUUGCAGGGUGCGCAAAAUUUGUGUGACUCCACCCCGACAUCCACCAACAACCGCUAUUGUUGGUGUAAAGCUUUAGUCGCCUAUUCUUAAAUAUAACAGCCUUUCCUUGGUCCAACACAUGUUGUAUGUAAGAGGAAGUAAUGAGAUCGCGAUGCCUUUUGUGGAAAGUUAGGGUUAAGUAUCUUACCACAUCGAAAUUAGGUCUUCCUGAAGAUGCUUUUCUUGUUGGAGCUUUGCUGUUUGAAGACCACCAAACUUUGACUCCAUUGAACUCAUCCUCAAUCUCUUCUUUGUCGUCCAUGCUAAGGACAAGCGGUGAUUGGCUAUCUUCCACAACUUCGGCUUUAAGUCUCUUGGCUCUUUGACUCGAGUUAGCACCAAGAUAUGUUUGGAUAAUUGUGUAAGUUUCGCUUUGUUUGAGACGCUCGUCCGAUGAUUCAUAAAAAGUUAUUUGGACGUUAAGGGGACAUAAGGUCUGUAAAUUUGUUCAUGUGCUUUUCAACAAACUUAUGAAGAUCAGAUGGGCAGAAUUGCUCAUACAUGGCAUAAAGAAACAUUAGGCUAGCGGCAAUUGAGCCUAAUUGUGACAAUAUUUCCCCAAUUCCCAUUGCCAUCUCUAAUACUUAGAAACUAUUGUGCCUAUUCUUAUGUUUUUUUUUGUGGGUGUUGGUUUAACCUAUAUGGUAUGAUUUUAUAAGGAGUAGUGAUUUAGGUUUUGUAUCUUGGCGACCAAGUUAUCUAGGAGACAUACGAUUUGUUGAUUUUGUGGGCGUGUUGAAAUUGGAAACUAGCAGCCAGAUUAAAAAGAAAAUAUAAAAACGAAAAAAAUAUAUUUUAUUUGUAUACUCAAUUAGGCAAAUAUAUCUAUUUAACUCCACCAAAAAUAAAAUAAAAAAUUUAAUUAAUAUAAUUUAAUGGUGUACAAUUAUUUUAUACUGUGAGAGAGUAUAUAUUAAUUAAACAAUAAAAUAAAAACUGUUUAAUUAAUUUGUAUCUCCAAUUUGUACAAUUAUUUUAGAUUGAGAGAGCAUAUUAAUUGUUUUUUGAGUAAAGGACAUCAAUUUAUUAAUUCAGAAGAGUAGUGAAAUUAUAAAUAAAAAUUGUCUCUGAAGCAUUACAUGCUAUUGAAAGAGUCAUGAGGUGCCUUAAAAAGACUAUGACUAUAUGCUUAUAUUAUGAAAUGUAUCCUAUUGUACUUGAAUGGUACAAUUAUACAAGAUGGAACAUUGAUAAUGUCUCUAUAGUUAGUAUUUUUAGAGUCACUUUUAAGUAGUUUUAAGUUAAAUUGAAUCAAUUCAAAGUGUGUUUUGGAGUCAAACUGAGAUAAAAAGGAUUUUAAAAAUAUUUAGUUGUGUUAAUUAUUUUUGUUAUUAAUUUUCACUAACUGGAUGAAUUCUUGGAGUUUUUGUUCUCUUAAUUUUUAGGUAAUAAAUUGAGCUGUUGGAGUGAAAAAAAAAAACCAACGAUCAUGUUCAACGCAUAAGCCAAAGAAGGGCUGAACUUGUUUCCAUAAGAAAAGUGCAGAACAAAUUUCAAUCAUGCUUAAUUCUAAUCUUAAAUUCACUAAGGAAUUAGGGAUUAUUUUAGGAUUAAUGAUUUUGUCACUAAGGAAUUAGGGCAAGAAUAAAUUAGAGAAUUCGGUAGUGAUACGAUAAGUCUAUUCAAUGGUCAUAUUCAAGUUGUUAACUCAAGAUAGUCAUCUGGUGAAACUCAUCCCUGACAAUCUUAUUAUUAUAGUUCAAUCCAAUUUUACUUUACUUAAUUUUCAUUAUUACAAUCACACAAAUUCAGUACCUUUUUGUUCAAUUAAGUCACAAAUAUUAUUCGACAGUAUAACGCGAUCCUCGAGUUCGACACUUGGUCUUACCGUUUUAAUUUUACUACUUGCACGAUUUCGUACACUUGCGAAAAUCGCUAUCAAAUUUUUGGCGCCGCUGCCGGGGAUUGCCAUAUCAUUGUUGAAUUUUAUUUUUGCUUAAUUUUAUUUUUUGCUCUGCAAUAAAAUUUUUGUUUUUAUUUUAUUUUUAUUUGUUUAGUUUUCUAAUGUCGAGUUCUAGUGAUUUUUUUCUUCUUUGUUGAGAUAAUUAACCACCACAUAGUAUGGAAGAAUUCGACGAUUAUCUUCUUUUACAACUUUUGGAUGAAACUGAGACUUGUCUUCUUUCUGCACAAUGUCGUAUACUUGAGGGGCAGAUCAUGAGAGAUGCAUUUGAAAAAGAUCUCCUUCAGGUUCUACCUCAUAGAUUUGAUUUUUGUAGCGAAGGACAUAUAAGUGACACUUUUGAUUAUUAUGUCCUACCAUCAAAAGGUGAAGAAUUAUUGGUCUUGGAAGCAGAAGAAGAUGAGUUUUUCAUGAAAAAGAUUAAUUUUAAGCAAAUGCUACCUACUCAAAUACUUCACAAAGAUUCAUAUGACAAGAUCUUUCGUUCCAAGGACGUUUUGAUUGAAUUCAUGAAUAAUAAUGAAGGUUCAAUCGAAAUAUUUGAGAGUCAAUGUGAAAGGUUAUUUGAGCGAGUGGUUGAGUUUGAGAAGUUUAAGAUUGGAGAUAAGUUCAGUGUUGUGGGAAAGAAAGAAGAUGAGGGAGAAUCAAUAAACAUUAAGGAUGGUAUAGUUGGUAAGGAUACUCAAAAGUCCCAACUUUGGGGGGAUUUAGAUGCCCAACCAAAUAUUCAUCAACAAAACAUUUCUCCAAUUUAUUUUAGCGACAAGGCAGGGGAAAAGGAAGAGAUUGAUGAUGUAACGCCCACUUUCGUUUAAUCGUUUAUUUAAUCGAGUUUAGGUGAUUAUAUUAUAAUUAUAUAAUAUAUGCAUGAUUUUGGUAUGUUUUGAUGAUUUAUGAUGUUUUGAUCGAUGACGUGAUGAGUUAUGAGUUUUGGAGGAUUUGAUAAGGAUAUGAGAAUUAUUUUAUUGUUAAAUAAAAUAAAGAUUUAAAAAUAAUAUAAAAUAUUUAGUUGAGUGCUGUUUUGAUAUUUUAGAUAGUUUUGGGGGAGAAAGUGAGAUAAGAUAAGUAAUUAAGAAGAGGUAUAUAAAGGUUAGACCUAGUUUUAGAAAAACAUUGUACGAACGACUGUUUUGGAGAAAAAAGAGAAAAGCUUAGAGAGGACCAAGAGACCAAGAGUGCUGCGAUUUUCUUCAAACAAGGUAAGGGUGAGACUAAUAAUUCAAUAACGUUGAUCGUUGUAAUUCUGAUGAUUAAUUGACAAAGUAAGGAUUGAUUUAGAAAAGUUUUGGAAUUAGGUCAAAACCUUAAAAAUUGAUGAUCAAACGGUAAAACUUGUUUAGAUUGAUGUAGAAACCGUCCUUUAACCUUAGAACAUGUUUAAGAUGGAUUAUGAAAUCAAAAUUAGGCUUUGAACCAUGUUGUGUGUUGGAUUUUUGAGAAAAACCCUAGUCUGCCCGUGCUUCUGUUCAUCGCUCGCCACGGCGAGUGAUGAGCCUCGCCUCGCGAGUGAUGAACUUCAUCGCUCGCCACGCGAGCCCUUCCCUUCGCCUCGCGAGUUGUUUAGUUCAACUCGCCAUGGCGAGCAAUCCCCUUCGCCUCGCGAGUUGUGUGAUGCAGCUCGCCACUGCGAGCCACCUUACUCGCCAUAGCGAGCCAAGGCAGAGUGUAUGUUAGAUUUCGUGUUUCGACCUUUUUAGUUGGACCUUGAGUGCCUUGAGUGCCUGAACAUACCUAGUAUUGAUUAGGAAUGAAUGUAGGAUCAGAGGGAACCCAGAACAACCUUAGUUUGGGAGUUGAGUGGUGCUCGCCAUGGCGAGUAAGUACUCUCGCCUCGCGAGUACAACCAGAAUGAACUUGUUUAUGUGUUUGUGCGAUCUGUGUCGCACUUGUUGAUCAAGAGUGAACCCCUAACUAGUAAUGAGACCUAGUGAUGUCGUUAAAUGCAGUCUGUAGAGUUGUUUAAGUCAUGAUAAUAUUAAUUGAACAUGAGCUAAUGUAAUGUACAUUUAUGCAAGAUAUGAAGAUUUGAUAAUGAUACAAUUUAUGUGCUAUUGAUAUAAUGAUAUCAUCUUGUUAUGUGACCUGUUUAUGCUGCUUCCGUUAUUUAACUAAGUGCAUAAGUAUAUGAUGAAGUUUAGCUCCAAAUUAUUGGAUGCAUAUUGAUAAGUUGAUUACGAUGUUUUGUUCAUAUGUGUCCAUGCAUAGCAUCUCAUUGAGCUUAGUCCUCACCACGAAUAUUAGGAGCUUUGUCCUCCGCACGUUUUAUAGGAGCUUUGUCCUCCGCACGAUUAAAGUAUAUUAAUACUUAUGAUGACGAUUGGUACCACAUGCAUAUAAGGAGUCUAAGAGCAUUGUCACAUUGUCAUGAUUAAGAUGCCUUGUUGAUAAUGAAUGAAUACGUGAUUAAGUGAUAAGUGUUUAUUGAUUAUGUUAUGUCGUUGAUAAUAAUUGGAUGUAUGAUUAUGUGAUAACUGUUUAGCAUUUAUGCAAAGUUAAUAAUGGAAUGAUUAUGAUGUUAAUUUAUGAUUCACGAUUACACUGAUUAAUGUUAUUUUAUUAUGAAAUCUCACCCCUUCUGCUUGAAAAUGUUGCCCUUCGUAUGGGUAACUUGCAGGUGAUCGUGCUUAGUGUGCAGUUGCCGUCGUGAGUGACCUUGCCUUCACUGUGUCGUCUAGGUCGCUCUGAUACGUAACGGGAUGGGGUUAAUGCUAUAACAUGCUUCAUUCUCUUACGUGAUUAAUAUGAUAUUUUUAUAAUGUUUAAGAUAUUGGUUAAAUUAUUAUUUAACUGUUGGAUUUACGUUAUAUGUGAUAUCCCGUUGUUUGAUGUUUACUCUGAUAAAUAUUAUGUUUUUAAAGAAGUUUUGCUAUUGGGAAAACGGGGUGUUACAAUUGGUAUCAGAGCAGGUCGGUCCGUCCGGUCAAUUAGAGAGUCGUGUUGAGUCUUAGUAAUAUUUAUAUUACUAUCUUAUGUUGUUAUUGCUACUUUUGUAGAAUAUCAGGAAUGGCCGGAAGAAACGAUGCUGCGUUAGCUGCUGCUCUACAAGUUGUUGCCCAAGCUGUGGGACAACAACCUAAUGCAAAUGCUGGUGCGAACGCUGAAGCUAGGAUGUUGGAGACGUUCAUGAAGAAGAACCCUCCGACUUUCAAAGGACGUUAUGACCCUGAUGGAGCCCAGACGUGGCUUAAGGAGAUUGAGAGGAUUUUCCGGGUUAUGCAGUGCAUUGAGGAUCAGAAAGUGCGGUUUGGUACUCAUCAGCUAGCCGAGGAAGCUGAUGACUGGUGGGUUGCUCUUCUGCCUACCCUUGGGCAGGAGGGAGCUGUUGUGACUUGGGCUGUUUUCAGGAGAGAGUUCCUGAGAAGAUACUUUCCAGAAGAUGUUCGCGGGAAGAAGGAGAUCGAGUUCCUUGAGUUGAAGCAAGGAAACAUGUCUGUGACAGAGUAUGCUGCCAAGUUCGUGGAGCUGUCGAAGUUCUACCCGCACUAUACUGCUGAGAAUGCUGAGUUCUCGAGAUGCAUCAAGUUCGAGAAUGGUUUGAGGCCCGACAUCAAGAGGGCGAUUGGAUACCAACAGCUUAGAGUUUUUCAGGAUUUGGUCAAUAGCUGCAGGAUCUAUGAAGAGGAUACCAAGGCUCACUACAAGAUAGUGAAUGAGAGGAAGGGCAAGGGACAACAGAGUCGUCCUAAGCUGUACAGUGCCCCUGCUGAUAAAGGGAAACAGAAGAUGGUCGAUGUUAGGCGGCCUAAGAAGAAGGAUGCUACAGAGAUUGUGUGUUUCAAUUGUGGUGGGAAAGGCCACAAAAGCAACGUCUGCCCUGAGGAAAUCAAGAAGUGUGUCCGGUGUGGCAAGAAAGGUCAUGUUGUAGCUGACUGCAAUUGUACGGACAUUGUGUGCUUUAAUUGCAAUGGAGAGGGUCACAUUAGUUCACAGUGUACUCAGCCUAAGAGGGCACCGACUACUGGUAGAGUCUUUGCUUUGACUGGUACUCAGACAGAGAACGAGGAUCGUUUGAUCAGAGGUACUUGCUAUAUUAAUAAUACUCCUUUAGUUGCUAUUAUUGAUACUGGUGCUACGCAUUGUUUUAUUGCUUUCGAUUGUGUUUCUGCUUUGGGUCUUGAUUUGUCUGAUAUGAAUGGAGAGAUGGUUGUCGAAACUCCAGCUAAGGGUUCGGUGACUACUUCUCUCGUAUGUUUGAAAUGUCCUUUGUCUAUGUUUGGUCGUGAUUUCGAAAUGGAUUUAGUUUGUCUACCUUUGAGCGGUAUGGAUGUGAUUCUGGGUAUGAACUGGUUAGAGUACAACCACGUUCUUAUUAAUUGUUUUAGCAAGUCAGUGCAUUUCUCUUCCGUCGAAGAGGAAAGUGGUGCAGAGUUUUUUAUCUACUAAGCAGCUGAAGCAACUAGAACGCGACGGUAUCUUGAUGUUUUCGUUAAUGGCUACGUUAUCUUUUGAGAAUCAAGCAGUGAUUGAUAGGUUACCGGUGGUGUGUGAUUUUCCUGAAGUUUUUCCAGAUGAGAUUCCUGAUGUGCCUCCAGAGAGAGAAGUUGAGUUUUCUAUUGAUCUUGUUCCUGGAACGAAGCCGGUCUCGAUGGCACCUUAUCGUAUGUCUGCUUCCGAGUUAUCUGAGUUGAAGAAACAGUUGGAGGACUUGCUUGAGAAGAAGUUUGUUAGACCAAGUGUUUCACCUUGGGGAGCACCGGUUUUGUUAGUAAAGAAGAAAGAUGGUAGUAUGCGGUUAUGUAUUGAUUAUCGGCAGUUGAACAAGGUAACUAUCAAGAAUAGGUAUCCACUUCCGAGAAUUGAUGAUUUGAUGGAUCAGUUAGUGGGUGCACGUGUUUUUAGCAAGAUUGAUUUGAGGUCGGGUUAUCACCAGAUUAAAGUAAAGGAUGAAGAUAUGCAGAAGACAGCUUUCAGAACGCGUUAUGGUCACUAUGAAUAUAAAGUUAUGCCUUUUGGUGUUACCAAUGCACCUGGAGUGUUUAUGGAGUAUAUGAAUCGCAUCUUCCAUGCAUUUUUGGAUCGGUUUGUGGUUAUGUUUAUCGACGAUAUUUUGAUUUACUCCAAGACUGAAGAAGAACAUGCUGAGCAUCUGAAGAUUGUUUUGCAAGUGUUGAAGGAGAAGAAGCUUUAUGCUAAAUUGUCUAAGUGUGAAUUUUGGUUGAAAGAAGUGAGUUUCCUUGGCCAUGUUAUUUCCGGAGAUGGUAUUGCUGUGGAUCCGUCUAAAGUCGAAGUUGUAUCGCAAUGGGAUACUCCUAAGUCCGUUACUGAGAUUAGAAGUUUCUUGGGUUUAGCUGGUUACUAUAGAAGGUUUAUUGAAGGGUUUUCUAAGUUAGCUCUUCCGCUAACGCAGUUGACUUGUAAAGGUAAAACUUUUGUGUGGGACGUCCAUUGUGAGAACAGUUUCAGUGAAUUGAAGAAGCGUUUGACGACUGCUCCAGUUUUGAUUUUGCCGAAGUCGGAUGAACCUUUUGUGGUGUAUUGUGAUGCGUCCAAGUUGGGUUUAGGAGGUGUACUUAUGCAAGAAGGUAAAGUGGUAGCUUAUGCUUCAAGACAGUUGAGAAUUCAUGAGAAGAAUUAUCCUACGCAUGAUCUCGAGUUAGCGGCCGUAGUCUUUGUAUUGAAGAUAUGGAGACAUUACUUGUAUGGUUCGAGAUUUGAGGUGUUUAGUGAUCACAAGAGUUUGAAGUAUUUGUUCGAUCAGAAGGAAUUGAAUAUGAGACAGCGAAGAUGGCUUGAAUUGUUGAAAGAUUAUGACUUUGGUUUGAAUUAUCAUCCAGGUAAAGCUAAUGUUGUCGCAGAUGCCUUGAGUAGGAAGACAUUGCAUAUGUCCGCUAUGAUGGUCAGAGAGUUCGAAUUGCUUGAACAGUUUAGAGAUAUGAGUUUGGUUUGCGAAUGGUCACCUCAGAGUGUGAAACUGGGUAUGCUGAAGAUUGAUAGUGAGUUUCUGAAAAAUAUCAAGGAAGCACAGAAAGUUGAUGUAAAGUUUGAGGACUUGUUGGUUGCUAGAGAUCAGACUGAAGACAAUGAUUUUAAAAUCGAUGAUCAAGGUGUGUUGAGAUUCCGAGGAAGAAUUUGUAUCCCAGACAAUGGAGAGAUUAAGAAGAUGAUUCUUGAAGAGAGUCAUAGAAGUAGCUUGAGUAUUCAUCCGGGAGCUACGAAGAUGUAUCAUGAUUUAAAGAAGAUUUUUUGGUGGUCUGGUUUGAAACGAGAUGUGGCACAGUUUGUGUAUUCCUGUUUAGUUUGUCAGAAGUCGAAAGUUGAGCAUCAGAAACCUGCUGGGAUGAUGGUGCCUUUAGACGUGCCAGAAUGGAAAUGGGAUAGUAUAUCCAUGGAUUUUGUGACGAGUUUGCCGAAUACUCCUAGAGGGAACGACGCAAUUUGGGUUAUUGUGGAUAGAUUGACGAAGUCGGCUCAUUUUCUACCGAUUAAUAUUAGUUUCCCUGUUGCCUAGUUGGCAGAGAUUUAUAUCAAGGAGAUUGUGAACUUGCAUGGUGUUCCUUCGAGCAUUGUGUCAGAUAGAGAUCCAAGAUUUACUUCUAGAUUUUGGAAAAGUUUGCAAGAGGCUUUGGGUUCGAAGUUGAGGUUGAGUUCGGCGUAUCAUCCGCAGACAGAUGGUCAGUCGGAGAGGACAAUUCAGUCGCUAGAGGAUUUGUUGAGAAUUUGUGUUCUUGAGCAAGGAGGAACUUGGGAUAGUCAUCUUCCGUUGAUCGAGUUCACAUACAAUAAUAGUUAUCAUUCAAGUAUUGGAAUGGCACCUUUCGAGGCUUUAUAUGGUCGGAGAUGCAGAACCCCGUUGUGCUGGUUUGAGUCGGGUGAAAGAGUGGUCUUAGGACCAGAGAUUGUUCAGCAAACUACUGAGAAAGUUCGGAUGAUCCAAGAGAAAAUGAAGGCGUCGCAGAAUCGACAAAAGAGUUAUCAUGAUAAGCGUAGAAAAGAUUUUGAGUUUCAAGAAGGAGACCACGAGUUUUUGAGAGUCACUCCUAUGACUGGUGUAGGACGUGCUUUGAAGUCAAAUAAGUUGACCCCGAAGUUCAUUGGUCCGUAUCAGAUAUUGGAAAGAGUUGGAACAGUGGCUUACCGAGUGGGUUUACCGCCGCAUCUUUCGAAUUUGCACAACGUUUUCCAUGUGUCGCAACUUCGAAAGUAUGUUCCGGAUCCAUCUCAUGUAAUCCAAAGUGACGAUGUGCAAGUUAGAGACAACCUUACGGUAGAGACUUUACCGGUGAGGAUUGAUGAUCGUAAAGUGAAGACGUUGAGAGGCAAGGAGAUACCUCUCGUGAGAGUCGUUUGGACGGGAGCGACUGGUGAAAGCUUGACGUGGGAGCUUGAGAGUAAGAUGCUGGAGUCUUAUCCAGAGUUGUUUGCUUGAGGUAAAUUUUCGAGGACGAAAAUCUUUUAAGUGGGGGAGAGUUGUAACGCCCACUUUCGUUUAAUCGUUUAUUUAAUCGAGUUUAGGUGAUUAUAUUAUAAUUAUAUAAUAUAUGCAUGAUUUUGGUAUGUUUUGAUGAUUUAUGAUGUUUUGAUCGAUGACGUGAUGAGUUAUGAGUUUUGGAAGAUUUGAUAAGGAUAUGAGAAUUAUUUUAUUGUUAAAUAAAAUAAAGAUUUGAAAAUAAUAUAAAAUAUUUAGUUGAGGGCUGUUUUGAUAUUUUAGAUAGUUUUGGGGGAGAAAGUGAGAUAAGAUAAGUAAUUAAGAAGAGGUAUAUAAAGGUUAGACCUAGUUUUAGAAAAACAUUGUACGAACGACUGUUUUGGAGAAAAAAGAGAAAAGCUUAGAGAGGACCAAGAGACCAAGAGUGCUGCGAUUUUCUUCAAACAAGGUAAGGGUGAGACUAAUAAUUCAAUAACGUUGAUCGUUGUAAUUUUGAUGAUUAAUUGACAAAGUAAGGAUUGAUUUAGAAAAGUUUUGGAAUUAGGUCAAAACCUUAAAAAUUGAUGAUCAAACGGUAAAACUUGUUUAGAUUGAUGUAGAAACCGUCCUUUAACCUUAGAACAUGUUUAAGAUGGAUUAUGAAAUCAAAAUUAGGCUUUGAACCAUGUUGUGUGUUGGAUUUUUGAGAAAAACCCUAGUCUGCCCGUGCUUCUGUUCAUCGCUCGCCACGGCGAGUGAUGAGCCUCACCUCGCGAGUGAUGAACUUCAUCGCUCGCCACGCGAGCCCUUCCCUUCGCCUCGCGAGUUGUUUAGUUCAACUCGCCAUGGCGAGCAAUCCCCUUCGCCUCGCGAGUUGUGUGAUGCAGCUCGCCACUGCGAGCCACCUUACUCGCCAUAGCGAGCUAAGGCAGAGUGUAUGUUAGAUUUCGUGUUUCGACCUUUUUAGUUGGACCUUGAGUGCCUUGAGUGCCUGAACAUACCUAGUAUUGAUUAGGAAUGAAUGUAGGAUCAGAGGGAACCCAGAACAACCUUAGUUUGGGAGUUGAGUGGUGCUCGCCAUGGCGAGUAAGUACUCUCGCCUCGCGAGUACAACCAGAAUGAACUUGUUUAUGUGUUUGUGCGAUCUGUGUCGCACUUGUUGAUCAAGAGUGAACCCCUAACUAGUAAUGAGACCUAGUGAUGUCGUUAAAUGCAGUCUGUAGAGUUGUUUAAGUCAUGAUAAUAUUAAUUGAACAUGAGCUAAUGUAAUGUACAUUUAUGCAAGAUAUGAAGAUUUGAUAAUGAUACAAUUUAUGUGCUAUUGAUAUAAUGAUAUCAUCUUGUUAUGUGACCUGUUUAUGCUGCUUCCGUUAUUUAACUAAGUGCAUAAGUAUAUGAUGAAGUUUAGCUCCAAAUUAUUGGAUGCAUAUUGAUAAGUUGAUUACGAUGUUUUGUUCAUAUGUGUCCAUGCAUAGCAUCUCAUUGAGCUUAGUCCUCACCACGAAUAUUAGGAGCUUUGUCCUCCGCACGUUUUAUAGGAGCUUUGUCCUCCGCACGAUUAAAGUAUAUUAAUACUUAUGAUGACGAUUGGUACCACAUGCAUAUAAGGAGUCUAAGAGCAUUGUCACAUUGUCAUGAUUAAGAUGCCUUGUUGAUAAUGAAUGAAUACGUGAUUAAGUGAUAAGUGUUUAUUGAUUAUGUUAUGUCGUUGAUAAUAAUUGGAUGUAUGAUUAUGUGAUAACUGUUUAGCAUUUAUGCAAAGUUAAUAAUGGAAUGAUUAUGAUGUUAAUUUAUGAUUCACGAUUACACUGAUUAAUGUUAUUUUAUUAUGAAAUCUCACCCCUUCUGCUUGAAAAUGUUGCCCUUCGUAUGGGUAACUUGCAGGUGAUCGUGCUUAGUGUGCAGUUGCCGUCGUGAGUGGCCUUGCCUUCACUGUGUCGUCUAGGUCGCUCUGAUACGUAACGGGAUGGGGUUAAUGCUAUAACAUGCUUCAUUCUCUUACGUGACUAAUAUGAUAUUUUUAUAAUGUUUAAGAUAUUGGUUAAAUUAUUAUUUAACUGUUGGAUUUACGUUAUAUGUGAUAUCCCGUUGUUUGAUGUUGACUCUGAUAAAUGUUAUGUUUUUAAAGAAGUUUUGAUAUUGGGAAAACGGGGUGUUACAGAUGAAGUCCUAGAUGCCAUUUAUGCCUUGUUCAUUGUUGUCCACUUGAAAAGGAUAUGGAAACAACAUCAUCUAUUUUUCAAGUUCAUGGAGUUCUUACCCAACAAAAGGAAGAAGAAGGAUGAUGAGUUCUUUGUAUGAUAUAUGCCACCUUAACAGUGGUUGAUGCGUCAAGCUAAUGACAUUAAAAAAGCGCUUAGUGGGAGGCAACCCACGUCAGUAAGCAAUUUUCUAUAUGUUUUUUUCUCUUUAUGUUUUUUUUUAUUGUUCUCAAAUAAAAAUUAUUAUCACAUAACCACUUAUUGGUUGCCACUCGUAGCAUUGAUUGUUGAGUUUGCAUGAAUAUUUUAACCUUUCCAUCUCAAAAAAAAAAAAAAUUGUUUUUGUCUCAGAGAAUUAUUCUGACCGCCAAGGCAGAAGGCUAGCUUACCGACAAACUUCAAGAGCAUAAUGGCUACGGGGCUUGCUGCAGAAGAUAUUCAUCAGAAUCACCAUCUCUUUUUCUAUAGCAUAACCGGUGAGAUUUGAGCCAAACAUUUUUCACUUUUUUCUAUAAUUCUUUCAUAUGUGAGUAUCCAUGUUUAAAUGUUAUUUUUCUAGAGCUUGCAUUGGUUCUCUACAGACUAUUGGUCGUAUUUUCAUACACACGAGGCAUUUGUUUGGUACUCUGAGCCUUUUCAAGCCACCCUUAUUAUUAUGAUUAUCCUUUGCUAACCCUUUUGAGCCUUCAUGCAAAAUUUUAUUUAUUGUUUUGGCGACGAACCAUGUCACAAGUUUUGAACCCACUAUAUUAUAUCUGUUUAAUUUCUUUGGAGUUAGAUAGAGUCAUUGUUUCUUGGUAUUGGUUUGAAACUAAGUUUGGGGUUGCUGUUGGAACCAACAACAUUUUAAAUUUGGAGUGAGUGCUAGUAGAACCUUGGUAAAAAAAUAAAAAACUGAAAGAAAAUUGGUAGACUUAAUAAUAAAAAUUGGUCUGCACAAAAAAAAAAAAAGUAAAUAAAUAAGAGCCAAAGCAUCAAAAAAAUUGGUCUCUUCAAAAAUGAAAAAAAAAAGAAGCAUUUCUACUAGUACUCAUGUUGUUUUGACAAAGAGAUUGAAAGUGAGUAGUACUUUAAUGUUUAGGGAUCCGUAGUGUAUCUAACUCCAAUUCUUUUGAUUAACCUACUUUUCCAAAUAUAUCCCACUUUAACCUAAGCCACGCUAUAACCUUGAAAGACCUUUAAAGUGUGUGUGAUUAUAUGACUUUGAAUGAUUGUUUAGAAUUUCUUCAAGUUCAUAGCAAAAUGCAUUAACAUGUUGAUUUGAGCGGGCAAAUGCCAUGACCAGCCCCACUGGCUUGAGAAUUGGUGAGGAAGAGAAUAGGAAGGAGAGUGUGGUUGAAAGCAUGAACUAUCUUCUCUAAGUUUGCCCCGCUUGAGCAAAAUUGGUAAGUUAGUCAACGCCGGAAGUGGAACGAAUGAGGAUCUGAGCACCCUCUCGGAAAGGUAUGCCAUUUUCAAAUUUGUGCAAUUUCUAACUUUUGUCUAUUUUGUUACUUGAGGACAAGCAACAUAUUAAGUUUGGGGUUGUGAUAAUGUCUCUAUAGUUAGUAUUUUUAGAGUCAUUUUUAAGUAGUUUUAAGUUAAAUUGAAUCAAUUCAAAGUGUGUUUUGGAGUCAAACUGAGAUAAAAAGGAUUUUAAAAAUAUUUAGUUGUGUUAAUUAUUUUUGUUAUUAAUUUUCACUAACUAGAUGAAUUUUUGGAGUUUUUGUUCUCUUAAUUUUUAGGUAAUAAAUUGAGUUGUUGGAGUGAAAAAAAAAAAACCAAAGAUCAUGUUCAACGCAUAAGCCAAAGAAGGGCUGAACUUGUUUCCAUAAGAAAAGUGCAGAACAAAUUUCAAUCAGCUUGAUGUGCGCCCCGCAUGUUAAAAUACACACAUAAGAUUUCUCUUCCUCAUAUUAGUUCCAACGUGGCACCACAUGAUAGGCUAUAAUGCACUCAUUUUAUUCAUGUGGUCCCACCACAACAAGUGACCUUGACAUGAAGAAAGAGAGCACGUGAUUGGAGGAGGGGAAUUAGGUUUCACUUGUUUUGGAAUAUAAAAAGGAGGCAGCUGCAACAAAUACAAGGGACUUUUGGGAACCAGAGAGAAGAAGCAGCGCAUGACAAUGGGAAAGGAAGGCAACGACAAUUAAAGGGAUCCGGAUAGAGAACGACGAUGCAGGGUGACGUUGGUCUUGUCGGAAAAUUUGUCCGGUUUAUUCUCUUUUCUUUGUUGUUUAUUUUCUUUAUCAUGAGUAGCUAAUUUUCAUGUUGUUAGGGAUGAGAGUAUCUAGAUGACAACUUUUGUUAUAUGAUUUUCUUUUGAUUAUUGAAGAAGUUUAUUGAAUCAUUUUUCUUAUCUCUAUUCUUAAUGCUUUUAUUGCUUGGCCGCCUUUAAAUUGAUAUACGGUUUAUAUUGUGAAACAGAAGUUGAAUGAAUUUAUAAACGCUUUCAGAUAAGAAAUUAUUGCCUUUGUAAUCUAGGAAUAGAUGCAAACCCUUGAAACCAAUUACGAAUUCUUGUUCAAUCAUGCUUAAUUCUAAUCUUAAAUUCACUAAGGAAUUAGGGAUUAUUUUAGGAUUAAUGAUUUUUUCACUAAGGAAUUAGGGCAAGAAUAAAUUAGAGAAUUCGGUAAUGAUACGAUAAGUCUAUUCAAUGGUCAUAUUCAAGUUGUUAACUCAAGAUAGUCAUCUGGUGAAACUCAUCCCUGACAAUCUUAUUAUUAUAGUUCAAUCCAAUUUUACUUUACUUAAUUUUCAUUAUUGCAAUCACACAAAUUCAGUACCUUUUUGUUCAAUUAAGUCACAAAUAUUAUUCGACAGUAUAACGCGAUCCUCGAGUUCGACACUCGGUCUUACCGUUUUAAUUUUACUACUUGCACGAUUUCGUACACUGGCGAAAAUCGCUAUCAAACAUCCUUUCAGACAAAUCCAAAGCGAUCAAUGGCUACACAUUUAGUAUCACUGGAGGAGUUGUUUCUUAGAAAAGAAGAAAUAUACAAUAUUGACUCAGUACAUAAUGAAAUUUGAGAUGAGAUCACUAGAGAAAACUAAUGAAGAAACAAGUUGGUAAAAUUCUUGCUAGUUGAGAUCCCCUUAUGGAAAAAACUAUUGCAAGUUGUGUUAACUCAUUGUGAUAGUAACACGACUAUUGUGAAAUCGAGAAUCGUUACUAUAAUGGUAAGAGACGAUAAUUAAGGCACGAACAAAGAACAAUUAUAGCGAUAGCUACUCUUCAAUGGAGCGGUUAAAGUGGAUUUUGUACUGAUGAUAAAUUAGCAAUUCCUUUGUCGAAAUGAUUAACUAGAAAGAAUGUUUGAAACACAUCCAAUAGGAUGAAACUAAUGCCUAAAGAUCACGAGUGAUGGUAAUUACCCAGCCUAUAUGACUGGAGAUCACAAAAAUAUAGGUUCAAUGGGUAAUAACAAGUCAUGUUGUGAUAGAACAUGCUAUGAUAAAAUCUAGAAAAGUCUGAUUCCUGUAGCCAAAUGAGGAUGAGAUAAGAGAAACUCUAAAUGAUAUCAUUACCAUAUGUGGAUUGUAGUACAAAGCUACAAGAGUACUAUUGAACUCACCUAUACGAAUGUGGAACACCGGCCGGUUACUAUGGGAUUUUGAGGCAGAAUACCUAGAACGUUCGUCAAAUUGGGAUAAACGUGCAGGGCCAUAAACACACGAGAAAUAAUAUUUGUACAACUAUCUUGUGACAACUAUUUCUCUCAUACUCAAAUGGUGUUCUUUUUCUCUCUCUUCCUCUCUCUCUCUCUCUCUCUCUCUCUCUCUUUCUCUCUCUCUCUCUCUCUAUUAUUUUUGACCAAUAAGAAGAGAGAGAAACAAAGUUGUCACCAAAGUUGUCAUUAAAUGGAUGUCCAAAUAUCAUUGCUCUAAACGCACAAGCUUUUAGAAUACACCAGAAAAAGGUUGCGUGCAGGUUCUGUGUCUAAGAUCGAGUUUAAUGCCACAAGCAACUCUAGUUAAUUGAAAUUUUACUCGCUAUGCAGAGGUUCAAGUUGUAGACGACACCUUUGUUUAUUAGCAAUCUUAUAAAAACAUCUUUGACGUUAUUUCUGAAACUAUUUUAAAAUCCAAGUGGGGAUUGUUGGAACAUGUGUAAAAAUUGAGUUAAAAAACUAGACACAAAUUCUCACAUUUGGUAGAACUAGUGUUGUGUGAAUUAAAAAAAAGUGGAAGUCCUACAUCGGAUGGUGCACACAUAAUAGUAGUAUAUAGUAGGGGUGUACCUCUAAAGGGGUACAUAAUUAUGUGAACAAAGUAAGCACUAGCGAAAUUUUUUUGAUAUAUAUUUUAUUAUUUGAAAAUGUUAACUUAAAUAAUUAAUUUAAUCAUUAUUAGAAAGUGCUUUUUUAGUCCUCAAGUUUUGCUAAAAUAUUUUAGAACGCAAUCUGAAAUAUUUUCGUAUUCAAUAUAAUAUAUUUCGGUAUUUAUAUGAAAUAUAUUUUUGUACUCAAUAGUAUACUUUUGUACUCAAUUUGCGAUAUUUUUAUACUAGAUCUAAUAUGUGAAUUACUUGUUCCCAAAUUUGCACACAUACUAUUUGUGAAUUUUCUCUAUAAAUUCAGAGCUCACAUAGUUCAUUCCAUACACCGAAAAAUAUUCUGAAACAUUGAAUCAUUUUCUUCGCUCUUCCACUUUGACUUGUGUUAACGAGUCUUUCUUCUCUUCAUCUAGUCCUUUUUCGGGGUAUAAUAUCCCUUGGAAUUAAGAACGGUUUUAUGAGCAUAGUCCCUCAAUAAUUUUUGUCCUUGCGGAAUAAAGAAUAUUUUUAAGAUCAUAGUCCCUUUUCUGGAAUAAUGUCCUGUUCAGAAUUAAGAAUGAUCUUAAAAUAAAAGUAUAUAUAAUCUCUUUUAUAUUUCCUUCCCUUGGAUAAAGUUAUAUGUUAGAAUGGUGAUACCACCAUAUUUGAGUGGUUGAAAUUUCAUAUUGGUAUUUGGAUUUGUUAAAAGUUAGAAUGGUGGUAACAUCAUAUUUGAGUGGUCACAAUACCAUAGUAGAGUGGUCAUAGCACCAUAAUUGAUUGGUUUCAGUACUAAAAUAUGAGUGGCCUUAGUAUCAUAUUGGAGGUGUAAUUUUCGAACGUUGUUUUUACAGCGUAGUAGUUAAUCGUGUUCUUGUAGUUUAACUUGUUUUAUAUAGUCUCCUUUGCAUUACUUUGGACAGUACCAUGGAAUGUCUUAAAGAGAGCGAUAUGGUCGUGACUCAACCUAGUAACAACUUCAGUAAAUUUAUUUUUGGCAAAAUUACAAUUUUAGUCCCUUAACUUAAUUUCAGGUAACAGUUUGGUCCUUUAUCUUUUUUUCAUUUCAAUUUAGUCAUUUUUGUCCAUUUUCAUAUACAUUUUCAAGCUUCAAAUCUAAUAUUCUUAUCCAAACAUAAACGAGGAUCAUAGAUUUGAAGACUGAAAGACCAUAAGAAAAUAAAAUCAUUAAUUUUAAGCUUAAAAAUUCAUAUGAAAAUGGAUAAAAAGGACCAAAUUAAAAUGAAAAAAAGAUAAAGGACCAAACUAUUACCUGAAAUUAAAUUAAGUGAUUAAAAAUGUAACUUUACCUUUAUUUUUUUAAAAUAGAAUUUAAAAAUUCAAAUACAACGGUGUUCCGUUAAAUGUUAUUAAAUGUUAUUCUACAUCAUUAUAUAUGAUGUGUAAUAGUAAAAAAUAAGCUCCAAAUUGGGUUGUGUAAAAAAAAUAAGCCUUAAAAUUUUGUUUCGAUUAAACUAUGACGAGUACAAGUGUAUUUGAUAGGAUGCCCAAUUUAGAGUAGAAGCCAUCACCACAUUCUUCCUUAGCUAAGAAGCCCUCAUGAAAAUGCAUACAUCUUAUUUUAUUACAUACUAUAGAUCUCAAUGCUCCACCCAAUUAACACAAAGAAACAACACAAGAAUAGAACCAUCCAUCACAUGCCAAUUUUUUUUUUUUUGGCACUUUAAAAAAAACCCCAUAUGUCUUGUUUUGAUUUCACACGAAGAAGAGAUACUAUUAAUACAAAGACAACAUUCAAACAAUGAAGCAUUGAAUCCGACACAAACACCGAACACAACAUAAUCAUGUCGCUACCUAUAAUAUAAAAAAUAUAAGACAACGACGCAUUCAUAUAUAUAAUUAAUUUUGUGUGUGGAACUUGGUAAGAGACGGAGGAGGUAUUAAUCAAGCAUGAACAACCAAAGCUAUUAACAACACAAUUCAGACAAAAUUCCCUCAACAUGCCCAAAGGCCAAACCUAAACAUUAUCUUUAAAUGUGUCAAUUCAAAAGCAGCACACAUGAACAUAGUUCAUAACUACAGUUUUAUUAAUUAAAAUGUUUCAAAACAUUACUAAGAAAACUGAAAUUAAUCCAACUAAAAAAAACUGAAAUCAAUCCAAUCUAAAUUAAUGUAGGACAGCAUUCUCCCCAAUCAAAUUUUUAUUAAAAGGGUCUUAUUAAUUAAUGUUCCCGGGAAUUCUUUAAGGAUUCCAAAUUUAGCAAUUGUUUUUUCAAAAAUAACUAUUACAAUUUACAAUGCAUUAAAUACACAAUUUUUCAUAAAAAAAAACUUACCAUUUAAAAUGUUUAAAGAGUGUCUUGGGGGCACUAGUUAACAUUUCCCUUAUUAAAAAAUUUGGAAAAUGUUAAGUAGUGCCCAGUGCCCCCGGAAAAUGUUUUUUUUCGAAAAUUAUGUAUUUUACUUUUUGAAACUUGAAAAAAAGUUGAUUUUAAUGUUGACUUUGCUUUUUCUUUCUAAUUUUGGCUACUUAACUAAUACCCGGAGGCACCGGUUAACAUGACCCAAAAAAGUUCCUCAUAUUUUUCACUUGCCUCCUCCACCUAUUCAUCCUAUAGUUUUGAGCCAAUUCUUGUUUAUCUUUCCCUGCCACCAGUUGAGCUUUCUCACCGUUUUUCUUUGCUUCCUCCUCUUCCUUUUCCUUUGCAAUUUCAAGAUAUUGAAUCAAAUUCUUCAAGCAAGACUCAGCAUCUUCGGUGGUCGACUUUGGCAUCAAAUUCUCGGCAACAUCAGCAGGUGACAUAUUAGUCUCUCCCAACAACUUUUCAAUAAUUGGAAACAAAUCACCAUGAGACUCAACAUCCAAGUAGUUCUUAGCAAGAACCUUGAACGCUUGAUAUCUACAAUAGGACAUUUCUAUGUGUUUAUCCAUCCUUCCCCUCCU